GUUUUAAUAAUUUAAGUAAAAUUUUGGUCUUGUAAACCGAAAAUAAGAGAAAUCUUUUAAAACU
Molecule: transfer RNA, 64 nt
Filed under: Calomera brevipilosa
Lineage: Eukaryota; Metazoa; Arthropoda; Insecta; Coleoptera; Carabidae
Description: tRNA-Thr
Rfam family: tRNA
About the family: Transfer RNA (tRNA) molecules are approximately 80 nucleotides in length. Their secondary structure includes four short double-helical elements and three loops (D, anti-codon, and T loops).
Source: RNAcentral